GCCCCGGUAGUACAGCCCGGUCUAGUAUAUCGGCCUGUCGAGCCGGUGACCCGGGUUCAAAUCCCGGCCGGGGCG
This 75-nucleotide transfer RNA is filed under the name Candidatus Bathyarchaeota archaeon. RNAcentral's name for it is "tRNA-Asp". It matches the Rfam family "tRNA". From Rfam's summary of the family: Transfer RNA (tRNA) molecules are approximately 80 nucleotides in length. Their secondary structure includes four short double-helical elements and three loops (D, anti-codon, and T loops). Lineage: Archaea; Thermoproteati; Candidatus Bathyarchaeota. The record is from RNAcentral.